This 427-nucleotide ribosomal RNA is filed under the name uncultured bacterium. Its description in RNAcentral is "partial 16S ribosomal RNA". It matches the Rfam family "Bacterial small subunit ribosomal RNA", at positions 355 to 774 of the family's 1533-position model. The record is from RNAcentral.
UGGGGAAUAUUGGACAAUGGGCGAAAGCCUGAUCCAGCCAUGCCGCGUGUGUGAAGAAGGUCUUCGGAUUGUAAAGCACUUUAAGUUGGGAGGAAGGGCAUUAACCUAAUACGUUAGUGUUUUGACGUUACCGACAGAAUAAGCACCGGCUAACUCUGUGCCAGCAGCCGCGGUAAUACUGAGGGUGCAAGCGUUAAUCGGAAUUACUGGGCGUAAAGGGCGCGUAGGUGGUUUGUUAAGUUGGAUGUGAAAUCCCCGGGCUCAACCUGGGAACUGCAUUCAAAACUGACUGACUAGAGUAUGGUAGAGGGUGGUGGAAUUUCCUGUGUAGCGGUGAAAUGCGUAGAUAUAGGAAGGAACACCAGUGGCGAAGGCGACCACCUGGACUAAUACUGACACUGAGGUGCGAAAGCGUGGGGAGCAAACA